UCUUCUAACUAUAAAAGUCUCUGUUACCCACCAUCCCCUGUGAAGAGCUUUUCACUGGUCCUGAGGUCUUGUGUUCUGCUGCAACGAUUGUUCCUUCUUGAAUCGAGGAUAUCGAACCCAUUAUUAUUAUUUUUUUCUUUUGGUUAUCUGAGAGUUUUGGCAACAAGGUGGGGCCCAAAAGUAACUGUUGAAAUCUUGGGGACUGCUCGUAGACCCAGGUGAAGAUACCACAGAGCCUGUUUUGUUUGUUGUCUCUUCGGCUGCUUUCCAGGAUCUCCGGUGAACUGAAGAAUGGAAUGAGAAAAUGCAUAUCUUUAAAAGGUACCCCUGAUGGACAUAAAAAUUUUGUCUCAAGCGGGCAACAGAUGACAACUAUGUUGCCUGGAACACAAGUGGACUCAGUAAAUG
Felis catus (domestic cat) is the source of this 408-nucleotide long non-coding RNA. RefSeq lists it as uncharacterized. The transcript is spliced from 3 exons. NCBI's taxonomy places the organism in Eukaryota, Metazoa, Chordata, Mammalia, Carnivora, Felidae. The record is from RefSeq and is a predicted model, not a curated record.